Suricata suricatta (meerkat) is the source of this 880-nucleotide long non-coding RNA. RefSeq lists it as uncharacterized. NCBI's taxonomy places the organism in Eukaryota, Metazoa, Chordata, Mammalia, Carnivora, Herpestidae. The record is from RefSeq and is a predicted model, not a curated record. The transcript has 3 exons.
AUCACAUAGGUAGAAAUACUAAAAAAAAUUAGAUAUUGUAAGAAUACAGUAUAUAACAAAAUAUGCUUUCAUUGCUUUCAUUAACUUCAUGUUGGUAAGGCUUAUGUGGUCAACAGUAGACUACUACUAGUUAAAUAUUUGGGGAGUCAGAAGUUAACAUGGGGAUUUUGAGCUAUGCAAGGGUCAACUAUCUAUAUCUUUAAUUAUGUUCUACAUCUGCCUGUAACUAAUAAACGUUAUAUGUGCUAUCUCAGUUUUGAAAAUCAGUAAGACUUAUUGGGAAGAAUGUAACAGCAGACAUAUGAGCCUUCAAGUUUUAGUUCCAACCAACACUGUUAGCCUUAUUUUCUCUAUUUGAACCUUUUAUGUCCACCAAUAUAACUAUAAUUUCCUUAAGGUCAAGAUUUCACUGUUUAUUCUCCACAGAGCUUAGCAAACAAGAUGUGCUUUAAUUCUUUGAGAAAUUGACAGAAGGACAUGAGAAAAGGAGAGAGAAACCUUUUGGAAAAAUUAAUGGUGGCUCUAAUUUCCUAGAAGAUCCAAUAAAGUUGAGGAUUUUAAUAAGUGGUUAAUAUCCAAAAUAUAUAAGGAGCUCAUACAACUCAACAGCCAGCAAACAGGAACAUAACCACAAUUUUAUUUGGCGUGGUAAUGUGCCCAUUAAAGGAUUACAUUUCAGCUAGGUGUGCAGUAUGACUCAGUCCUGUGGGAUUUCUACAAGUCUCCGUCAAAUGAAAUGUGGCCAAAUGACUAGAGUGCCAGCAGCCAUAUUGAGCCAUGAGGUGUACUUGAAACUGGAAGCCAGGAUUGAAAAUGACAGCGCAGAAAGGACUCUGUGACACCUCUGGGCCCCGCCCCCCGCCCGCCAGCGCACUCGCCU